UUGGGUUGUGUUUGCGGUUUGUGUAUUGUCGAAGGUUUUCACGGCCGGCAUACGAUGGCUGGUGUGGGUGUUCCGGUUUGUGUCUUUGCUUCACGGUUGCGGGAGCUGAUGUCGGCGACGAUGCCGUUGGUCGUAUCAGUCCUGCGGGAAUUGGAACUAAGAUGCCUCCAUGUGACCAGGACGUUCCCCCCUUGAGCAGAGAAAUAACCAGCGAGGGAAGAGGAAACUGCAGCAAGGCCAUGGCAGUGCAUGGUAAGGCUGACCCGCAGGAUGGGACUUCUGGAGCUUCGUGACAAACCGAGAGACUUAAAAGAAGAGAGGCAGUGUUGCAGCCACCUGUGAAUCUAAAGAACAUGUUGCUGGCCCUUUAACAUGUGCUUUAAAAUGAGCUCUGAAAGGUAAGAUUGUGUUGUAAUAUUGCAAUAAAUUGUUCAAAUGAAUACUGAGGCUGUAAUAACUUCACAAAGUUUGUGCUUGGCAGUUAAUGCCUCCCAGUUUUUAAUACCGGGAAGUUUGGGUUAUGCCCUUUCCCAAAAAGAAUAAACAUUUCAGUGUCUUCAUCUGUUGAUUUGAGGCCUUUAUUCUCUGACUUUCGGUCAGAAACGCUUUCUGAGUGCCAUAAGGGGUGUUCAUGAAAUUAAAAAAAGUUUUAUUUUGAAUCUGGAAUUAAUUCUGUUAGUUAUCCAGAACUGUUUGGGGUCAACCUCAGUUCAGCAGAUCCAGAACUUGGGACACUCUUCUGAGUUUUGGAUGAAACAAAACCUGGAUGGGGUGAAUAGAGCAAGAAUGGUAUGUGUUGCAAGAACCACCUCUCUUCAGGUGCAGUGUUAUAUAUCACCUACCUGCCCUCUUGAUCUGUCUAGUGCCUUCUGGCCCUCCUGACAGUCACACGCACACACAAAUCCAUACGCCCAUUUCUCCUGCUCUUCUGCCCACCUGAAGCACUGCUGAGCAUUUCAGUCUGUGCCCAGAACAAUUAUGAGAGAGCCAGUGUGGUGGGGUGGUUAAUUGUGGAACUGAGCAGGAAGGUUCUAGUCCACCCAGUCAGCCAGUGGCUGAUGUGGGGCCAUGCACUCUCUCUCUGCCCAACCUAUCCUACAGUUGUUAUAUAAAGGAAUUGGAGGUAUGUUACAUAUGCCAUGUUAGACUCCCAAAGGAAAGGUAGUAUGUGACUUAAGCAGCCUGAUGUUGUUGCAUGCAGAGACCAAAACAGUUGAAACACACCUGUAUCAGGCUGGGCACCCAGGGCACAGGAGCAGCUGUUUGUGCCUGGAACAGUUUGCACCUCCCUGGUAUAAACCCAUUUCCUGCAUUCUACAGUAGAGCGAUUGCCUAUUAAAGAAAAAGAGUAGGGAAGGAGAAGGAGGUAAAGGAGGUGUUCUGGCCCUUAUCAUGGAGAUACUUCUUGUAUCUCAUUGCUCCAUUUUAUUUUUCUGUGUUUUAUCUUGCUUUCCUGAUGACUUAGACAUAUUUAUAUGCAGCUCUAUUCAAGCUGUGUACGUAACGUUUCUGGUCAUUGGCCGUAAUGAAGAUGUUCUGUUUUGAGCCUUAGGGAGCUCCCUGCCUGUGCAGGACUCCACUAUUAUGGUGUCACUGGCAGAUAGCGCUCAGCUUUCCUUUCAAUAUGCUUUGGCAUGUCAUUGUCCUUCCUCAAAUGUAAUGUCUGGAAUUAAAUCCGGUAUUCUAGAGUGGUCUGGCCAGCGUGAAUAAAGCUUUCUCUCAAAGCGAACAGCUUCAUUUAUAAUGAUUCCGCCAAGUUUUGUUCCUGUGCAGUGAUUAUCCUACCUGGGCCUUGCCAUUGUGAAGAAGGAAAUCCUGGGCCAAGUGGGCGGUGGCAGUGGCUGCCACGAACAUGGCUGGCUCAGAUGGCACUGGGGGGCAUGCUCACCACUAGUUUAGCCCUGUUACGACAUAAAUGUGGCUGCUGGGUCAUUGUUAUGCCAGGGCAGGCUGCCAGGGCCCGAAUAGCUUCAUCUGCUUGGCAACAGUCUUUCACCUUCAUCCCUAAAAUGUCUUUUGGCCGUGAGCCUGAGGGUUUCCAGAAGGAGGUUUUCCAAGCAGCCCCUUGACAAGCUCAUCCACGGGGGGUUCCUGUGCCUAAGUUCCCAGGAGUCCUUUCUCAGUGUGCGGUUUGGUGUUUUGAUGCACAGUGCUCUAUGGAGGGGUAUAGGCUGCACCCUUAAUAAGCAAGUCUGAAUGUUUUUUGUUCUUUUUUUUAUGGCUGGCACCGUUCCAUGUGCAGUCACAAAUUUAGUAAUGCCCACACUAAAGCGUUUUACAGGAACCGGGAGGAAGGGGCUCUGCAACCCGGAAGGGGAGCACUAAACUGAAUCCUGCAGGGGAGAGGAGAGAGCGCAAAAGGCGAUGGGCCGCCUCGUUCAAGGAUUGGGUGGGAUACCCAGGACAAGGAGAUGGUCAGUAAUGAGGAAGCAAAGACAAGAUAGGCCAGGUUGGGAGGUCCCAAAGGUGGGAAGGGUCUUUUUCCCCUACCAUAUUCCUUGGAAAGUUUAAUUGAGGUUUGCACAGAAAUUAUGCUUAUUUGUUAAAAUAGGGAUUGCCAGCCUGGUUCUGAAUCUCAGUAGUAUUGGGUAUGUUAUUUCCUGUUCUGAUUUGGGAAACACCACAAGGUUUAAAUAUAACCCCUGAACUUGCAAUUAAAGAACAAGGUGGAGGAAGAUGUAGAAAAGCCCAGCACUGCCUGUUGAUGGAUGAUAACCCUACUGAUUUUGCAUUAUGGCCUCUCCCUGGUGACCAUAUUAAAAGAUUUUUACAGCAAAGAAACUCUGGAGCACGUUGAACUGAGUAUGCAUACACAGUAGAAUUUGCAUACGACCAAGAGAGAUUGAUUUUGAAGAAUGGGGUCAUUUAAAAUCUUGGUAAAAGCAGGCAAGCUGUGUUUAAAAAAAACAAACCAACUUUAACCCUGACUUAUCACCGUUCUUUUCAAGAAACAGUGGUGAAUCUUCCAGACAGCUUGCUCAUUCUUAUUGCAUAAAUCAUCCCCCUAAUAGGAUACUGGCAGCGUUACUUCUGAACUACAAGGGUCUGGUCUUGCGAGCAGGCAAAAGCCCAGAAGGGCAAUGGGAGAUCUGCAAGUUGUCUCAGAGCCUGCUUCCCUGCGGGGAAUCCGGACCCCAGGACUUCCAGUCCAAAAGCUGAGCAGGGGGAAACUAGGCUGGAAGAAAAAAUCCCAGAAAAGAGCUGUGGCAGACUCUUAUGUGCUCUUCUGUAACGUCAAGAAAAUAAUCCAGGUACUGUAAAUAUAUGUCAGCAGGAGUCAUGCUGAAGUAAAAGGAGACAAUGCUGAAGUAAAAGGAGAGAGUUCAUUUCUGCUUCUUUAUCUCAACAUUUGGUCAAAUUAAAAACUGCUGCUUAACAGCUAGGAAAUCUUCAGGAGCUUUGGCUGAAAUGCAGCUGGCUGUGUCAGACUUUUGCCAAGGCUUCUCCACCUUCCAAAAUGUGAUUUCUCAUUCAUUAAACGAUUUUGAAUUUAUCAGGGUCAGCUUUCCUAGGCUUUAUUACGGUAAGACUCAGGAAGGUCAUUGGACAAGCAGUGCUAUGCUUGCAGAAAUUCAUUAUUUUUUUUAAGAUGGAACAGGAUUUGAAUAUGUUAAUUCAUUUCAAGAUGUGA
This is a long non-coding RNA of Python bivittatus (Burmese python), 3631 nucleotides long. RefSeq lists it as uncharacterized. The record is from RefSeq and is a predicted model, not a curated record. Lineage: Eukaryota; Metazoa; Chordata; Lepidosauria; Squamata; Pythonidae.